This 617-nucleotide ribosomal RNA is filed under the name uncultured bacterium. RNAcentral's name for it is "bacterial SSU rRNA". The stretch from base 1 to 539 matches the Rfam family "Bacterial small subunit ribosomal RNA", at positions 338 to 873 of the family's 1533-position model. The record is from RNAcentral.
CCUACGGGAGGCAGCAGUGGGGAAUUUUGGACAAUGGGCGCAAGCCUGAUCCAGCAAUGCCGCGUGAGUGAAGAAGGCCUUCGGGUUGUAAAGCUCUUUUGUCAGGGAAGAAACGGUGAGAGCUAAUAUCUCUUGCUAAUGACGGUACCUGAAGAAUAAGCACCGGCUAACUACGUGCCAGCAGCCGCGGUAAUACGUAGGGUGCAAGCGUUAAUCGGAAUUACUGGGCGUAAAGCGUGCGCAGGCGGUUUUGUAAGUCUGAUGUGAAAUCCCCGGGCUCAACCUGGGAAUUGCAUUGGAGACUGCAAGGCUAGAAUCUGGCAGAGGGGGGUUAGAAUUCCACGUGUAGCAGUGAAAUGCGUAGAUAUGUGGAGGAACACCGAUGGCGAAGGCAGCCCCCUGGGGUCAAGAUUGACGCUCAUGCACGAAAGCGUGGGGAGCAAACAGGAUUAGAUACCCUGGACCUCGAGUCCCCAAAGGCUUAAGCUAUNUUNCGGGUUNUAGUNACUUGGAACUGAGCUAAGCGUAGAGUGACCGCGNGGGACGUACGGUGCGAGAUUAAACGUAAAGUAAGUAAUUGAGUGAGAGACGAGACGAGGCGACGACGAGGGAGAGGG